UACGUAGGGUGCAAGCGUUGUCCGGAAUUAUUGGGCGUAAAGAGCUCGUAGGCGGUCUGUUGCGUCGGCUGUGAAAACCCGGGGCUCAACCCCGGGCCUGCAGCCGAUACGGGCAGACUAGAGUUCGGCAGGGGAGACUGGAAUUCCUGGUGUAGCGGUGAAAUGCGCAGAUAUCAGGAGGAACACUGGUGGCGAAGGCGGGUCUCUGGGCCGAUACUGACGCUGAGGAGCGAAAGCGUGGGGAGCGAACAGG
RNAcentral lists this ribosomal RNA (253 nucleotides) under uncultured bacterium. Its description in RNAcentral is "partial 16S ribosomal RNA". It matches the Rfam family "Bacterial small subunit ribosomal RNA", at positions 524 to 776 of the family's 1533-position model. The record is from RNAcentral.